UAAACACAGUAUCGACGUUUCUUGGGUU
Molecule: non-coding RNA, 28 nt
Filed under: Bombyx mori (domestic silkworm)
Lineage: Eukaryota; Metazoa; Arthropoda; Insecta; Lepidoptera; Bombycidae
Source: RNAcentral